This 969-nucleotide ribosomal RNA is filed under the name uncultured bacterium. Its description in RNAcentral is "bacterial SSU rRNA". It matches the Rfam family "Bacterial small subunit ribosomal RNA", at positions 28 to 1001 of the family's 1533-position model. The record is from RNAcentral.
GAUGAACGCUAGCGGCAGGCUUAACACAUGCAAGUCGAGGGGUAUAGGAAGCUUGCUUUCUAGAGACCGGCGCACGGGUGCGUAACGCGUAUGCAAUCUACCUUUCACAGAGGGAUAGCCCAGAGGAAUUUGGAUUAAUACCUCAUAGUAUUACGACUUGGCAUCAAGAUGUAAUUAAAGAUUUAUCGGUGAAAGAUGAGCAUGCGUCCCAUUAGCUAGUUGGUAUGGUAACGGCAUACCAAGGCUACGAUGGGUAGGGGUCCUGAGAGGGAGAUCCCCCACACUGGUACUAAGACACGGACCAGACUCCUACGGGAGGCAGCAGUGAGGAAUAUUGGACAAUGGGCGCAAGCCUGAUCCAGCCAUGCCGCGUGCAGGAUGACGGUCCUAUGGAUUGUAAACUGCUUUUAUACAGGAAGAAACACCUCUACGUGUAGAGACUUGACGGUACUGUAAGAAUAAGGAUCGGCUAACUCCGUGCCAGCAGCCGCGGUAAUACGGAGGAUCCAAGCGUUAUCCGGAAUCAUUGGGUUUAAAGGGUCCGUAGGCGGUCAGGUAAGUCAGUGGUGAAAGCCCAUCGCUCAACGGUGGAACGGCCAUUGAUACUGUCUGACUUGAAUUAUUAGGAAGUAACUAGGAUAUGUAGUGUAGCGGUGAAAUGCUUAGAGAUUACAUGGAAUACCAAUUGCGAAGGCAGGUUACUACUAAUAUAUUGACGCUGAUGGACGAAAGCGUGGGUAGCGAACAGGAUUAGAUACCCUGGUAGUCCACGCCGUAAACGAUGGAUACUAGCUGUUGGGAGCAAUCUCAGUGGCUAAGCGGAAGUGAUAAGUAUCCCACCUGGGGAGUACGAACGCAAGUUUGAAACUCAAAGGAAUUGACGGGGGCCCGCACAAGCGGUGGAGCAUGUGGUUUAAUUCGAUGAUACGCGAGGAACCUUACCAAGGCUUAAAUGUAGUUUGACCGGUU